Molecule: ribosomal RNA, 610 nt
Filed under: uncultured Campylobacterota bacterium
Lineage: Bacteria; Pseudomonadati; Campylobacterota
Description: bacterial SSU rRNA
Rfam family: Bacterial small subunit ribosomal RNA
Source: RNAcentral
AUGAUGGAGAGCUUGCUCUCCUGAUUAGUGGCGCACGGGUGAGUAUACCAUAGAUAAUGUACCUCUUAGUUCGGGAUAGCCACUGGAAACGGUGAUUAAUACCGGAUACUCCUUCUUGUCUCAAGGCAAGUCGGGAAAGUUUUUUCGCUAAGAGAUCAGUCUAUGUCCUAUCAGCUAGUUGGUGAGGUAAUGGCUCACCAAGGCUAUGACGGGUAUCUGGUUUGAGAGGAUGAUCAGACACACUGGAACUGAGACACGGUCCAGACUCCUACGGGAGGCAGCAGUGAGGAAUAUUGCACAAUGGAGGAAACUCUGAUGCAGCAACGCCGCGUGGAGGAUGACGCAUUUCGGUGUGUAAACUCCUUUUAAGAGGGAAGAUAAUGACGGUACCUCUUGAAUAAGCACCGGCUAACUCCGUGCCAGCAGCCGCGGUAAUACGGAGGGUGCAAGCGUUACUCGGAAUCACUGGGCGUAAAGGGUGCGUAGGCUGGCUUUUAAGUCAGAUGUGAAAUCCAAUGGCUUAACCAUUGAACUGCAUUUGAAACUGGGAGCCUAGAGUUCAGAAGGGGCAGAUGGAAUUAGUGGUGUAGGGGGUAAAAUCCGUAGAUAU